Non-coding RNA from Vicia faba (fava bean), 378 nucleotides. NCBI's taxonomy places the organism in Eukaryota, Viridiplantae, Streptophyta, Magnoliopsida, Fabales, Fabaceae. The record is from the annotation of a GenBank genome assembly.
AUGAUUUGGAUCAAGUCAAUGGCAAAGGAUCAGUUACGUCUCGUUUUCAGAACGCGGGAUCUCCUCAUUCUUCCUUGCCACCCUCGAUUCACCGUCAAAGCCCACAGUUCCAACUCCCCCGUUCUUCACCACCUCAAAAACAUCGCCGGAGCAGCAGUCUUCUCUGUCGCAACCGCCACUGCCGUACUCACAUUUUCACCUUCCCCUGCCAGAGCCCAACGAACAUCACCAUCAACUCACUUGCAACACCAUCCUCCAUCUACUAUCGCCAAUCGCUUAUCAUCACCUCUGUUCCGUUCAGAUAUCUCACCAACCUCUUUCCACCAAACACCACGCUUAUCCUGCCAACCUGGAGUUACCACCAACCUUCUUCCAUAG